GGAAGAAUGCUCUUGUGUUUGAGAAACUGGCCUGGAAAUCUAGAUAUGUGGGUUCUAUUCCCACCUCUGCCA
This 72-nucleotide transfer RNA is filed under the name Chelonia mydas (Green sea turtle). It matches the Rfam family "tRNA". From Rfam's summary of the family: Transfer RNA (tRNA) molecules are approximately 80 nucleotides in length. Their secondary structure includes four short double-helical elements and three loops (D, anti-codon, and T loops). The record is from Rfam by way of RNAcentral. Lineage: Eukaryota; Metazoa; Chordata; Testudines; Cheloniidae.